GACGAACGCUGGCGGCGUGCUUAACACAUGCAAGUCGAACGGAAAGGCCCUGCUUUUGUGGGGUGCUCGAGUGGCGAACGGGUGAGUAACACGUGAGUAACCUGCCCUUGACUUUGGGAUAACUUCAGGAAACUGGGGCUAAUACCGGAUAGGAGCUCCUGCUGCAUGGUGGGGGUUGGAAAGUUUCGGCGGUUGGGGAUGGACUCGCGGCUUAUCAGCUUGUUGGUGGGGUAGUGGCUUACCAAGGCUUUGACGGGUAGCCGGCCUGAGAGGGUGACCGGCCACAUUGGGACUGAGAUACGGCCCAGACUCCUACGGGAGGCAGCAGUGGGGAAUAUUGCACAAUGGGCGGAAGCCUGAUGCAGCAACGCCGCGUGCGGGAUGACGGCCUUCGGGUUGUAAACGCUUUCGCCUGUGACGAAGCGUGAGUGACGGUAAUGGGUAAAGAAGCACCGGCUAACUACGUGCCAGCAGCCGCGG
This 480-nucleotide ribosomal RNA is filed under the name uncultured bacterium. RNAcentral describes it as "bacterial SSU rRNA". It matches the Rfam family "Bacterial small subunit ribosomal RNA", at positions 28 to 520 of the family's 1533-position model. The record is from RNAcentral.